Molecule: ribosomal RNA, 376 nt
Filed under: uncultured bacterium
Lineage: Bacteria
Description: bacterial SSU rRNA
Rfam family: Bacterial small subunit ribosomal RNA
Source: RNAcentral
UAAUACGAAGGGGGCUAGCGUUGCUCGGAAUUACUGGGCGUAAAGGGCGCGUAGGCGGCCCAUCAAGUCAGGCGUGAAAUUCCCGGGCUCAACCUGGGGACUGCGCUUGAGACUGGCGGGCUAGAGGCCGAGAGAGGGUGGUGGAAUUCCCAGUGUAGAGGUGAAAUUCGUAGAUAUUGGGAAGAACACCGGUGGCGAAGGCGGCCACCUGGCUCGGUACUGACGCUGAGGCGCGACAGCGUGGGGAGCAAACAGGAUUAGAUACCCUGGUAGUCCACGCCGUAAACGAUGUGUGCUGGAUGUUGGGAAACCUAGUUUCUCAGUGUCGUAGCUAACGCGGUAAGCACACCGCCUGGGGAGUACGGCCGCAAGGUUG